AUACGUAGGUGGCAAGCGUUGUCCGGAUUUAUUGGGCGUAAAGAGAAUGUAGGCGGUUUAUUAAGUUUGAAGUGAAAGCCCUCGGCUCAACCGAGGAAGUGCUUCGAAAACUGGUAAACUUGAGUGCAGAAGAGGAAAGUGGAACUCCAUGUGUAGCGGUGGAAUGCGUAGAUAUAUGGAAGAACACCAGUGGCGAAGGCGGCUUUCUGGUCUGUAACUGAUGCUGAGAUUCGAAAGCAUGGGUAGCAAACAGGAUUAGAUACCCUGGUAGUCCAUGCCGUAAACGAUGAGUGCUAAGUGUUGGAGGGUUUCCGCCCUUCAGUGCUGCAGCUAACGCAUUAAGCACUCCGCCUGGGGAGUACGAUCGCAAGAUUGAA
Molecule: ribosomal RNA, 377 nt
Filed under: uncultured bacterium
Lineage: Bacteria
Description: bacterial SSU rRNA
Rfam family: Bacterial small subunit ribosomal RNA
Source: RNAcentral